This is a long non-coding RNA of Lagopus leucura (white-tailed ptarmigan), 835 nucleotides long. RefSeq lists it as uncharacterized. Lineage: Eukaryota; Metazoa; Chordata; Aves; Galliformes; Phasianidae. The record is from RefSeq and is a predicted model, not a curated record. The transcript has 5 exons.
CAAGAAUCGUGUGCUGGCUGUUCCCUUCCAUUUUCAGCUGGGUUAGCACUAUUUUGGAAAGAUUUUCUACAAUCAUUCCUCAACUUAAUUUUUGAUCACGUUUCAUCUGAAAGUCAAGAAGUUGAAAUCUAUGGCUGAAUGCAUCUCCUGGAAUUGCCUGUUAGAAAUGAGCAAAGCCAUCAGAAAUCUGAGACAGUGUCUACCCCAAGUCAAGUUACAUGAAUGAAACCUGAACUGAAAUAAAUGUUAACAAUGAGAUCAUCAAUAGGAAUCAUGCUUCUCCAGGAAGGCGAGCUACCUUUCUUACCGUGGGAAUGCUCCAUAAGUAUUUGCAUCAACAACAAUACAUGCUUUAGAGACCUGGAGAAAUAAUUACUGCAGUGUGGUAUUUUGACUUCUGCUUCUGUGAAGAUCUAACUGAAUGUCUCAAGGAGGUCAGUUUUAUGGACUGCUAAAGGAGGCCUUGGAGAGUGCUGUUGUGGAUAGCAAUGAGGGUGACUCAUCUGGCUAUAGAGCUGGAAAUGGAAAUGUAAUAUUAAAGAAAAUAAAUAACAAGACUGAAAAGAGAAUUAAAUGAGGAAAUGAGGCGUGAAUGCGUGAGACAGAGGUUAGUCUACUGCAUGUAAGUAGAUAUCGCCUAAUUGUUUGGGAAGCAAAACUUAGUAAGGGAACUGUAGGAUUAUGAGUGAACUAGAGCACUCUAGGAUAUGCCUACCAAUUACUUUAUUGCAGCAGGUAGAUCUGCCACUCUGUGGUGUAUAAGGGAUAGCUUGAAAACCCCUUUCUUUGAAGAAAUGCAUUAUGAGUAGUGAUUAAUUUGUAUUGCUUACGUAUG